RNAcentral lists this long non-coding RNA (1362 nucleotides) under Theobroma cacao (cacao). RNAcentral's name for it is "long non-coding RNA (TCAC_LNC003235)". The record is from RNAcentral. Lineage: Eukaryota; Viridiplantae; Streptophyta; Magnoliopsida; Malvales; Malvaceae.
GCCAAAGGAAGAACAAAGGAAGAAAAGAAAGAACAAGAACCCUAGGGUGAAAAUUCAAGAGAAAAUUGGUGGAUUUCAAAUAAUCAAGCAAUCAAAGGUAAAAUUUCUUGAUUUUGACUUAUGAUCUACCUUUCCCAUGCAUUCUUUUGCAUUUUCUAUGGUUGAAUAUCAUGAUUUCAUGAUGGGUAUCUUGCUGGCUGAAUACUUAGAGAGAGGUUUUGAUGCUUGGUUUGGUUAGAUUUUAAUGUAUUUUAGUGUUUUUAGUUGAAUGGUGAUGUAUAGCAUGAAAAUCAAGCAAGAAAAAUUCACGUUCUUCCAUCACCCAUCAUUGGCCGAAUUCUCCAUCUAGAAUAUUGAGGAUGAUUUUGAUUUUAUUUCAAUUGAUUUGGUUAGGGAUUAGUGAUUUAUGGUGUGAGAAUCAAGUAAAAAAAAUCAUAGUGUUGAUGCACCCACCAUGGUCGAAUUUUCCAAGAGAAAAUGUGAGGAUGAUUUUGCCAUAUUUCAAGUUAUUUAAUUUGUGUUUGAUGAUUUGCAGUAUUGGGAGAAAAAUGGAAUUAUUUGGAGUUGAAUUGGACAUAUUGGCCAAUUAAUCGAGUUAUAGAUCGACUUAGGCCAAUACCGUUUUAAUUAGGUACACAAUUGAAUUUGUGUAGAACAUUUUGUUUAGACGAUAAUCAAAACAAUUUACAGCCCAUUUCAUGCAUUAAUAUAGAGCUUGAAUUGGUUUUACAACAAUUUAGCAUAAAUGCAGUAAAUGACUUAUUGUGCAUUAUGUCUAGGUGGUGAGCAUUCUGGCAAAAGCAAAGAUAUAGUAUCCGAGGAUCAAGAAUCGGAGUACUCGAAAUUCAACUCCCGAAAUAGUGAGUAACCUUACUAUCGUCUUAAUUAUCUAAAGUGGUUUUUAUCCGAUUUUGUGAUUUUAUAAAAAAUGAGUUUAAAUGGUAAAUCUUUAGGUUUUAUAAAAAAAAUGUGUUAAAUGAAACGAUUUUAUAAAUUGUUUUGAAAUUGAAUGAUGGCUUUGAAAAUAGAGUAAUUGGAGACCAUUUGAUGUAUUGUGAAUUUAUGGUUCUAAUUGAUUGGCUUAUGGCAAUAUUGGCAUGAAUGGUUGAAUUGGUAUUUGUGUUGAAAAUGUAUAAACUGUUGUUUACCUUGAUAGGCUGGAUAAUGAUAAAAUUGCCAUGUCAUGUUGUUGAAUUUUAUUGAAUUGGUGGGUUAUUGAUUAGUUGCUGCAGUGGACGGGCUCCGUGGACCAGCCUAUUAGAGGGGGCACGGUAACCCUAUUAUAUUCAUACCUCAGUAUGAGAGGCACGGAUGGAUAACUCCUGAGGUUAACACUUUAGAGUUCACUUCACAAGAAACCAC